Neofelis nebulosa (Clouded leopard) is the source of this 4148-nucleotide long non-coding RNA. RefSeq lists it as uncharacterized. The record is from RefSeq and is a predicted model, not a curated record. NCBI's taxonomy places the organism in Eukaryota, Metazoa, Chordata, Mammalia, Carnivora, Felidae. The transcript is spliced from 3 exons.
GGCAGUUCUUAGAUUAGAGGAAGUGGGCAAGGAAUUAACAAGGCUUCCAUUCAACAAUUUCUAUUUUCUCCAUGAAAUAGGAGGCCAGAGGUUUAUUGAAGGACAGUGAAGAGGAAAAACCAUGACUGAAUGGGUCUGAAUCAUUCGUAUGAUUCCCUCAGGACUUGUGAGGGAAUUUCCAGUCCAGCUAGAAGUUGUAACACCUACUGCAAUGGCACAGGCUGCCAACAGGGCAGAUGAGCCCCCCCUGCAUAUGGAUAAGUAGAGGUUAACACUCCCCCCGGCUGUCGCUGUUGGGAGAGGAAAGAUGACAGAGUACAUACACCAAAGAGAGUACAUAUCACAGGACAAAGGAGCCCCAGAAAAGCCCAAAGAUAGCCAGCUUCCUGGUUUAGAAGGGAAACUUUUUAUCUUUGCAAAUAGACUCCAAGUUCAGGUUUGAAUGUCCUGAGUCAUAGAAGCCCCAGCUCUACACUAACCAGCACCCUGCUGAAUCCUACAGCUCGAAAGAGGAAGAUGAUGUGAACGACAAGUCCUAAUGUGGUCCGUAAUUACCAGCCGGCUUUCGGAAACUGGUGGGAGGGCAGAAUGGAGUUCUUUGGGCUUGUUCAGACACCGAAUCCACAGGCUCAAAACCCCUGAUAAAACUCGAUUUUGUUCCAGAGGAGUGUGUUGGUGUCCGGGAUCGACAAUGAAACUUUCUGAUGUCUCAGACACCUUUUAUCUCUGAUGAAUGAAACCAGACCACUUUCCUCGGUCCACAUUCUGUAUAGGGGGGAAAAGACAUGGUGAAGACACCGUUUGCCUCCUUUCCUGAGGCCCCAAGCUCGGGGCUGUAGAGCGUGUACCUACCUGGAGCUCAGUGUGUCAUUGAUGACUAAGUUGAGGAGUAGGCCUAGCGCUGAGGAGAUGAACCUUCUUUUCUGCUGAACCGUCUUUCUGUUCAAUGGCCAGAAGACUCUGGCAUUUUCCUGACUCAGGAAUUGGCAACGCUUCUGACUCAGCAAGCCAAGCCCUCAUUUAUUUACUCUAAGGUAGCAUGUGCCAGGAAUACAUUCUAACCUUUAGAAGUUCUGUUAAUCCAGGUUCUGGCCAAAGCCACUAUGUAGAAGAAUUCUCUUAUUAAGAUAAAACCCACUGAAACAUAAGAUCCAACAUAUGAAAUGUCUUUAAACUUCUGACACGGACUAGAUACUUGUUUUUUUGUUCCUCAUCUGAGGGAGAUUUUCUUCUUGCCUUAUGUGACUGGAGCAGCGGGGCACAUUUCUUGCAUCAGUGCCCCAGGUCAUUGUUUCGGGGCCCCUGAGAAGCUGCGUUGGUCACCCAAGGGCCAGGGCGAGCGGGGUUGCUGCCAGGGGUGUUGCUGAGCACGUAUCAGGGAUUAGCGGGUGUCAGCCUAUGAGAUGUGUCUUUUAGUUGGUGAAUCACCCAGAAUUCAUCAAGGUAAUGAUGAUACUUAUACUUACCUAAAGAGUAAAGAGAUUUAUUGACCAGCGGUUAGAUUGGCCAAAGACCCCGUAGGGAAGGUUCUAGAACUAGGUUUGGAAAGCAGGCAUAAACAAGAGAUGAGGCAUCCGCUGGGACCACAACCCUAAUCACACUCCAAUCAUACUCCCUAAUCAUACUUCUUGCUGGGUAACCAAAAAAGAAAAAUGUCUAUGAUGCUUGGCCACACGCUCUGCCGAUAUAUAUGCUCUUAGCAUGUCACCCGCGAUGUACCCAGGUACACGGGAACUUUCUGGUCGUCCUUGAUCCAUGGAACCAUGAUGCAUUGUACCUCCUCUUCUCUAAGCAGGAUACCCUUGGACCCCUUCUUUGCUGUAGGCCCCGGGAUGAAUCUGGAAGAGAUGCUGGUUCAGUCUUGCUGCCGUUGCAUGCUCUGUUGGCUGUCCUCAGGACAGCAGCCCAGGCUCCUCCAGGGUGUUCUGGGUCAUGAUGCUUCUCCUGGCCAAAAUCUCCCCCUUUUCAGCCCAUAGCUGGUCUGUAGUCCCAUGAAGCAAAAGGGUGUAAGGAACAAGGUGCCUGGGCCCUUACUCCUUCUUCCUGGGGUCUCUGCUGCCACAGCACAAAUCCUUUCAAAACUCUGGCCCAUGUUGCCUUGUGUAUCACAAAGGGGUCAAUCCCUUGUCUGGGGUUUCAUUUUGAGAAGUGCCUAGUCAUUGCUUUUGGUUAGAUAACUAUCAAAUAACAUACUACAUUUUUUUGGCACUAUAGUUUUCAAACAUUUCCACAAUGAGGAGCUCAUUGUCUUAGCCUCCUUUUGAAAUAGCCAGGGCCAUUUUUAUCCCCAUCAUGGAGUUGAGCCACUGAGGCCCAAAGGGCUCGAGGUCACACAGCUGCUAAGGGGUAGGGUUGGCCUUGGUUCUAGUUUACUUUACCCCUCACUUGGUGCUCCAUGGACUGUUGUGCGGCUUCUAAUGACAAUGACAUGUGCUGCUAUUAUGACGCACUCACCCAAGAUCCGGCAUCAUUGCUGGCAGUCAUGCUCCCUGUGAAGUUUGCAGACACUUGUCUCAGCUCUGUCUGGGCCCCAGGCCAGGCUGUGUGAGCCAGGUGCCCUCUAAGGAGGUGAGGUACUCUCACUAAGAAUGGUCUCUGCCUGCCGCUCUCACUCACUCCUGCUCGGGAAUUUUCUUGUCCCUGCUCGUCCUGGAUCUCUCAGAGGCAAGGCAAAAGCAGCUGAUGAAGUGGCCACAGUCCCCUAAGAGGAGGCCAAUGGGUGGAAUUCACAACAACCCCAGCCCUGAGGUUUGGAAGACAAACGACUUCUGUUUCAGACGAAUGGGAGUGUCAAGUUAUUCCAGCCCGAUGAGAUUACAGCUCAGAGGAUCACGAGGAAUCAAUUCCUCCAGAAGAGGAAAAAAACAGCUGGCACAGGAGCUCCGCAGGGCCUUUUGCUAAAGGGAGUUCUUCUUCCAUAAAAGGAGCCAACAAGAUUUUGAUCGUUUUCUUCAAUCUUUUUUGUUUUGUUUCAUUUUUAUAAAAAGAAGAGCAGCUUCUGCCCUGGAAUAAAACCUGAUCUGCAUUCUGACACAACACCCUUGGGCAGCCUGAGCACAUUCUGGAAUUACAGAAACAAACUCAUCUGAGAAACAAAAAAGUUCUAUUUAUCGUACCUGCAAGGAAAGUGCAAGUGCUCACUGAUGCCCAUGGUGGCCACCCUUGGGGAUCAGAAAGUGCCCUUGAAGACUGACCCAUUUGGGAGCCCCCAGACAGGUGCUCACCAUUAACUUUUUGGGAUUUCUCCCCCUCAGGGCAAUUCACUCCUUGGCUUUUAAGGUUGAAUAUGGGGUUCCCAAGUAGGAAUCUCACCUCCAUUUUGGGAGUCCUCUUGUCUCACCUUGAACCUCUCUGUUCCAUGAAGUUGGUGAAUGGCCUCCUUUGUUCUUAUGCUCAUCCCAGGCAUGAGUGCUAUUUACUCGUCUUCUCACACCCAGGGACUUUCUGUUCUUUUUUUUGCUCGGAGACUGGGUAGGGAAUGGAUAUGGGAGCACAGCAUGAUAUUUUCCCAUCGACUUGAGGGUGGAUGCGCCACCUAAUAACUUUGUGCCUCAGUUUCUUCAACAGCUCAAUAUUACCAUGUGAAUUCUUGCUGCCUUUGUCUCUAUUGGGAAGAGUACUUUUGAAGUGAGGAAAUUGAUUAAAUCUAAGGGUGUGUGGUUGGUGGACUGCAUGCAUUAAUUCUACAAAAAAUUAUAGGAGUCCCACUGUGUAACUGGCGCUGUUUUAGGCACAAAAGGUAUAGGAGAUCACUAAAACAUGGUUGGGGUAGAGUUGGGGCACAGACAAGUAAAAGGAUUUGAUAUGUUUAGUGUAGUGCCUGGUACAGUUCAACAAAUGGUAGCCCUUGUUUCUAUCUUCCUCCUCUUCCUCCUUCUCCUUCUUGUCCUCCCUAACCCACACUGUGCUAGGCCUGGGCAAACGAAGAGGAAGCUGUAAUUCCUUCGUGUAACUGGAUAAUCUGGAGGGAGAGAUAGACAUGCUAACUAGUCUGGAUGUGUAUGAGGUAGAACCUAGCAUGCUUAUCAGUUAUUCCUCACAAAGUCCUUUCACAGGCUAGGAAACGCAGGCUUUUGCAGUCAUAUGAUUUCUUUCAGACAUGCAAAUAGUACAGAGAAAAAAAAAAGCCAAAAUUCAAACCCAGGGCA